RNAcentral lists this ribosomal RNA (440 nucleotides) under uncultured bacterium. Its description in RNAcentral is "partial 16S ribosomal RNA". It matches the Rfam family "Bacterial small subunit ribosomal RNA", at positions 338 to 795 of the family's 1533-position model. The record is from RNAcentral.
CCUACGGGAGGCAGCAGUGGGGAAUAUUGCACAAUGGGGGAAACCCUGAUGCAGCGACGCCGCGUGAGCGAUGAAGUAUUUCUGUAUGUAAAGCCCUAUCAGCAGGGAAGAAAAUGACGGUAUCUGACGAAUCAGCCACGGCUACCUACGUCCCAGCCGCCGCGGUAAUACGUAGGUGGCAAGCGUUGUCCGGAUUUACUGGGUGUAAAGUGCGUGUAGUCGGGUUGACAAGUCAGAUGUGAAAUCCUGCGGCUUAACCGCAGAACUGCCUUUGACACUGUUGAUCUUGAGUACUGGAGAGGCAGACGGAAGUCCUAGUGGAGCGGUGAAAUGCGUAGAUAUUAAGAGGAACACCAGUGGCGAAGGCGGUCUGCUGGACAGCAACUGACGGUGAGGCGCGAAAGCGUGGGGAGCAAACAGGAUUAGAUACCCUUGUAGUC